GACGUGAAUCUGGGUCUUCCUUUCCUGUGGCGGUCCUCAUGAGAGCGCUCAUCAUAGUGCUUGAUGGUUUUUGCGACAGACCGUAUACACUUUUCUUAUUUGAGCUGUUCUUGCCACCAUAUGGACUUGGUAUUUUGCCAAUUAGGGCUAUCUUUUGAAUACCACCCCUACCUUGUCACAACACAACUGAUUGGCUCACACGCCGAAAAGAUGGCUGACGUUUUACAUGCCCGUAACCAAUUAUACAAUUUUUUUUUUUUUUUUUGCAUUUGUAACUUAUUUUUUAACUUAUUUUGUACAUAAUGUUACUUCUACCAUCUCUUAUGACCAAAAAAUAACUUCUGGACAUCAGAACUGGGAUUACCCACCACGAACUGGAAGAAGCUUUUUCCUUUAACAAGUCACACAAGAAAGAUAUACUGCUCUUCCGGGAACAGGCCCAUUUCCCCAUCAUUUGCGUGAAGAAAAGACGGAAAAGAGGACGCAUAACGGGGUGCCUUUUAAGAAUCUGUAGGGAAGCGAGUAAACUUCCACUGCGAUCAAUUCUAUUUGCUGGCAUGCAAUCAUUGGAAAAUAAAAUUGAUGUCCUACGAUUAUCCUACCGACAGGACAUUAAGAACUGUAAUAUCUUAUGUUUCACCAAGUCGUGGCUGAACGACAACACAGAUAAUAUAGAGCUGGAGGGAUUUUCAAUGCACUGGCAGAUCAGAGAAGCUAUGUCUGGUAAGACUAGGGGUGGUGGUGUGUGUCUUUUUGUCAAUAACAGCUGGUGCGUGAUGUCUAAUAUUAAAGAAGUCUCGAGGUAUUGCUCGCCUGAGGUAGAAUACCUUAUGAUAAGCUGUAGACCACACUAUCUACCAAGAGAUUUCUCAUCUAUAUUAUUCGUAGCCGUCUAUUUACCACCACAGACCGAUGCUGGCACUAAGACCGCAAAAAAACAACUCUAUAAGGCCAUAAGCAAACAAGAAAAUGCUCACCCAGAAGCGACGCUCCUAGAGGCCAGGGACUUUAAUGUAGGCAAACAAAUCAGUUUGGCCAAACUUUUACCAGCAUGUCACAUGUGCAACCAGAGGGAAAAAAACUCUAGACCACCUUUACUUCACACACAGAGGUGCGUACAAAGCUCUCCCCCGCCCUCCAUUUGGCAAAUUUGACCAUAAUUAUAUCCUCCUGAUUAUAUCCUCCCGAUUCCUGCUUACAAGCAAAAACUAAAGCAGGAUGUACCAGUGACUAGAUCAAUACGGAAGUGGUCAGGUGAAGUGGAUGCUACGCUUACAGGACUGUUUUGUUAGCACAGACUAGAAUAUGUUCCAGGAUUCAUCCAAUGGCAUUGAGGAGUAUACCACCUCAGUCAUCAGCUUCAUCAAUAAGUGCAUCAACGACUUUGUCACCACAGUGACUGUACGUACAUAUCCCAACCAGAAGCCAUGGAUUACAGGCAACAUCUGAAUUGAGCUGCAGCUUUCAAGGAGCG
Molecule: long non-coding RNA, 1474 nt
Organism: Oncorhynchus tshawytscha (Chinook salmon)
Lineage: Eukaryota; Metazoa; Chordata; Actinopteri; Salmoniformes; Salmonidae
Source: Ensembl